Non-coding RNA from Manis javanica (Malayan pangolin), 4780 nucleotides. The record is from RefSeq and is a predicted model, not a curated record. NCBI's taxonomy places the organism in Eukaryota, Metazoa, Chordata, Mammalia, Pholidota, Manidae.
AGUUCCAUGUGCCAAGGGGAGUCAUGGUACCCAGCUCAUAAACCACAGCAUCCAAGGCGGGGUGGCAUGACUCAGGCAUUCUCUGCAGCAGCAUUUCUCUGCUGGCUACACUCCUGCUGGGGAAUUCUCGGUGGCUGCCCCACCGGUAGCAAGAGCUCCCCUUUACUGAGCCACCUUGAAGUGCUCAGAACCACUGGAGAUGCACUGCUGCCCUGGGGGCGUGGGUAGGAGUAGGUUAUGAGCCCAUUUGGGAGUUGGGGAAACUGAGGCCCACAGUGGAGAGGCUGCUCAUCCAAAGUCACACCAAGUAUCACCAAGCCUCAGAUCCAAACCCCUCUGGACUUCUCCAGGGAGAGAAUGGGCUGUGACCGAUGCUGACACAGUCACUUUAGGCUGGCAUGGGUGGCUAUGGGCACAAGCCGGGUGUCUGAAAGUAAACCUGUAAAGAAGAGCUGUGCCUCCCCAGGCCAGCUGCUUCACCUCUCUGAACCAGAAGGUGUUUCUAUCUGCCUCGUAGGGGCUGGGUGGCCCCGUGUCCUAGCAUGGCCAUCAGGGACACACACAGUGACCUAUGCGAGGCGCCUGGCACAUGGGAGGCCUUUGUUUGGUCUGCACAGUCCCCUGCCCAUCCCUGCUCUCUGUGCUUCUCUGGGCAGGAAGAAGCUCAAUUCCUGGCCAGCCUGAGGCCUAUUUCUGUUUCCAUUGGAUGUGGCUUCUAGCAGACUAAUGCGGUCCACACACUGCUCAAAUUUUCCUGGGGAAGGUGGCCCUGUGCUGGGACUGUUGGCAGGCACUGGGGUGGGUGGGGCUGAGGCAGUAGGUGCCAUUUGCCCACAAUCCCCUUAGGCAGCUCCGGCCGACUGCAGCGCCCUCUGUGCCCCGCCGUGCCUGCCGCACAGCGUGCUGCCCUUGGUGCUCGCUGCGGAGCACACGAGGAUGCUUUGUCUUCUCUUGCUCCCCAGGCCCAGCUGUGGGGCUCAGGCCCAGGAACCCAGUUCCCCUGGUCAUGGUUGUGAGAUGGAAGAUUUCCAGGGCCAGCUGUAGAAGGAAGAGGACUGAGCCGCCCUGCACAUGCUCCAUGGGAGCCCCACAGAAGCCGGAAGGGUCUGUGUGUGCGCGGGUGUGUGUUCCAGACCCCAGCCGGGUGCAGAAGGGAUGCAGGACAGAGCAGGGGCCUGGGGCAUUUAGAGGAGGAAUGAAGGCAGAGCAUGGUGGGCAGGUGGGGCUCAGGGCUGGGGUCCCAUCCCUUUUGACUUAAGGACUCCAUCCAUCCUAAUCUUCCCUUGCUCCCCAUUCCCCGAGUAUUUCAUGCUGCAGAGAGACCCUCUAGACACCUGUCCUGGGAAGAAGAGGGGGUGAUCUGGCAAAAUGAGCAAGGACAGAAGGACUGUGCACUGUGUCCCAGGAACCACAAGCCACGAUUUGCAAGCCCUGCGUGGGUGGCUCCGAUAACAGAGAGCAAGAGCGCUCUUUGAACUUGCCCGAUCCAGACCUUGGGUUGAAAUGUGUUUGCUGGGACCAGGGUUUCUUGGAAUAAGAGUUGUGGCCACUACCUGCGACCAAGCCCUGGCGAAGCGCUAGCCCCGGUCUCAGUUGCCCAUGGAUCCUCUCUCCUUGCACAGCUCAGCCUGCACCAGCUGCCACUGUGAAACCAACCUGCUCCUGAGGCUUUGGAAGAUGUGAGCAGGAAGAAUUGUUCUAAUAUAAAGCACAACUGGAGCUGGAUUCCAGGAAGAAACGUAAAAGGAUAUUUAUGCCUGCAAACACCCAUGUUCUCUUGCCACUAAAAGCAAGGUCCAUCUGCCAAUUCAUUCAACCUGCUCUGGCUUGAGAGCGCCCCCUGCCGGCGGUCCAGCAUCUGUCUCCCGGGUGCAGAGGGACUUAUUUCUGCAGAAGCCAGUUCCACUGUUGGAGAGGAUUUUGGCAGAUCUUCAAGCAUUUGAAUAUAGCUAUUACUCAAUUUUUAGUUCAAAGCAACAGAAAGUAGUCCAGCCUCACACCCCUUCCUGCCAUGGAGAAUGGUUUGGAGCUGCUACCUCUCAAGGUGAUGCCGCCCCUGACGCCUGGGCAGUGACACCGCAGGAGGACCUCGCCUCACUGGAGAGCUGAGAUCGGCCACUGUGAAGGGAGAGACCUGCCUACUCCUGCUGUCCUGGCUGGAUCCUGCUUCUCAGUGGGAGGGAGCUUCUGUGCUGGGAGAACUAGGAUACCACGUGCCACGCAGCCAGGCCCCAAGCUCCACGAGGACAGAAGCUCCUUUAUGUGGGACCUCGCCCUGUGUCUCUCUUCAUCUGGCUGUUAACUUGUAUCCUUUGCAGUAUCCUUCAUUACAUUGGUAAACAUAAGUGUUUUCCUGAGUUCUGUGAGCCGCUCUAGCAAACUGAUUGAACCUAAGGUGGAGGUCAUGGGAAUCUCCAAUCUAUAGCCAGUAGGUUAGAAGCACAGGGAACUGCCUGAGGCUUGCGACUGGUGGGUGGAGGGCAGACUUGUAGGACAGAGCCCUUAACCUGGGAAUCCAGUGCUGCUUCAGGCAGAUAGCACCAGAAUUGAGCUGAGUUCUCAGACACCCUGUUGGUGUUUGAGAAUUGCUUGGUGUUAGUAUGCGUGGGAAGACCCCCCUCCCACAUAUUUACACACACUGGAAUUGGGUCUGGGAACCCAAAUGGAGUUAUAUACUAUUACUUCUGAGUAUAAUAUUGUUAUUGCUGUACAUAUACGUAGGGAAAGACAACACCAGUGCAUUUGGUGUCAGAUGAGUGAGAUUAGCAGCUAGUUAAUAACCAGCUUAGAAACUUCUGCCUCUAAUGAAUUCACAUGAGAGAUCCUAACUCAGGUUAGGGAAUCAUUGCCUGUUUACUUUCUGGGUAAUAUGAGGGUCCACGUGCCUAACUGAAGUGAGAGGCAGUUGGAAAUUGGGGUUGAACAGUGAAAAGGAGAGAAAGGAUGUAGAGAACAGUGAACAAGACAUCUUAGCUUUUACGACAAAUUUUCCACAUGCAGCACUGAGAGGGCAGGCCCACGCCCUGGAAGGGGCUUUGAGCAGAGUCUAGCAGAGGGGUGCCUAGUAGAGAGCCCGACACACGGGAGGCCUUCAGUGUAAAUGAAGAAUGAAUAGUUUGCAGGAAGCAUAGUUUCCCUCAGGAAGCUAACCAUCCUCACAGCUGAAGGAGGGAGGCCUGGCAAUCGUCAGCUUUCAUGUCUGAAAGCCCAUUAAAAUGCUGCUCUGACAUCGGAACUCCCCAGCGCAAGAACAGGGAACAUCUGAGAUUUAGAAAAAUAACUUGAGUUGGCUUUGCAUUUUGAAAGUCAAAGUAAGAAGUCAAAACAGACUUUUCUGAGGGAAAGUCAACUGGUCUAGAAGAUUCUACGGUACUUACUCCCAUGAUGGGGGAAAGGGGCAGUCUCACCCCAAGGGAGCUGGAGAAUAUAGGGCUGGAAUCAGAAAGUACCAAAGCUGUAUAGAUUGACUGACAGCAAGAGUAAUCCAUUAAAUUCUGGCUCUUGGCCUUGACCUGUAUCUCUUUUAUUUGGCACUUGAAUCUCUGUCCAAACACAAAACAUCCUUUUCUAUGCUUGAUGCCUCAGUGUGGUUGGGUUGCUGAGAGAAGGCUCCUGUAGGCAUGAGGAUGCCUGGUGUUUGCCAAGUGGUGGUGGAUCAGAGAUGGCCACUGAGAGAGAUGGUCUGUACCUCCACUGCUGGAAUUGGGUGGGUUCUGUGUCUGCUCUAACCUAAAGAAUAUGGCAGAAGUAACACUUAAGAGAGUGGAGCUUUUCUUUUCUGUCUUUUGGAACACUCCUUGGGGCCCUGAGCUGCUCUACAGAAACAUUUGCUACACUGAGCUGCUGUGCGGAACCCAAGCUAGUCUUGUGGAGAUGCUGCAUUGAGAGAGGGAUGUCAGCCAGGCAGCCCAGUCUCCAGAAACUGAGAGGAGGAGACUUCAGUGCUCCAGCCCCAGCCACCGUGGGGCUCCAGUGAUGGGAGCCCCAGGGGAGAACUGGCCACAGAAUCAAGAGAAAGAAUAGUUUUUUUCAAGGUAUUCCAUUUUGGGGAGGUUUGUGAUGCAGAAAGAUAUCAUUAGAACCCAAGGCCAGAUUGCAUCCCAGACCACCCAUGAAGGAAGAAACACCCCAAGAAGGGAUUAGCUGGUGAAGGGGGUCUAGGCAAGCCAGAAAAGGCAGAAACACUGCGAGAAAACCACAAAAUGAGAGGAGUAAGAUGGAAGGGAGUAAGAUAGAGGUCCCAUGAAACUGACACUUUGAUUUUUACAAUUCUCUCCUUGGUAUUUAAUUUCUUAAAGAAAUGUUUUAAUUAAAAAAAGGAAGCACUUUUAAGAACAGGCACUGUUCUGUGGGGGUCAUAAUUAUUUUGAGUAAUUGUCCUUGAUCUGAUUUUUUGCCUACACUUAACUGACCUUUCGGUCGUAAAUUAUUAUUUGGAGAAAAGGAGAAGCAAGGGGAAAGGAAGUCAGCCUGAAUGACCCCGAGGAAGGGACCAGAGUGAUUAAUGCCUGGUGAGCACUUAUCGGGAAUCAGGCAACACGCUCAGAGCGCUAUACAUAUUAACUUGGUUAAUCUCCAAGCUCCCCAAUGUGGAGAUUAUUAUGGUCUCAUUUUACAUUUCAGGAAACCUGAUGCCUAAAACGUAAUAGAAUUGCCUAAAACAUACAGUUAAAAGGCAAGUCCGUUGAGCCAAACUUAGAAUUUGGACUCUUGCAAUUGGCGUUGAUUAAGACCUGUCCUGAUUCUUGAACAAAGUCUGCUUGAGUCCUUCCACCCUGAA